This is a long non-coding RNA of Fukomys damarensis (Damara mole-rat), 3168 nucleotides long. RefSeq lists it as uncharacterized. Lineage: Eukaryota; Metazoa; Chordata; Mammalia; Rodentia; Bathyergidae. The record is from RefSeq and is a predicted model, not a curated record. The transcript has 3 exons.
UCGAAAGCUCCUAUGGGCUCCAGGCACUGAGCCUAUGACUUUUGAUGGCCCUGUUAGAUGACACCACAGAGCAUGAGUGCUGAGCUGAUUCAGGUGUGGAGGAGUUCUGCUUUCCCCUGCUGUUCAUGGAAGGGAGGCUUUGCAAAGGGAGUCAGAGAACACUGGGGAGGAUGGCAGACUGAAAACACGAAGAGAGAGGAGCAUUUGCCGGCCCAAAGCAGCAUAUGAAAGAAUGGGCGGAUCAACGUAUGCUCCAUCCGUGGUGUGUUUCUGCUGCUUCUCCAAACGUGGAAUGACCAGUCUGAUUCUAGCCACUCUGUUGACUCUCUGCAGUGUGCCAUUUGGUUCUAACUUGGAUCUUUGUGGUAACAAAGGGGCUUGAGCUCUCAUGCUCACGUCUAAUGGCUAUUCGGAUAAUGCCUAAGUCAGCUUUCCAGUGUCGUGCUGCUCAGCAUUCUGUUAUUGUGACAGACACCUAAGGAAAACACAGAAAAGGAGGAAAGCUUUAUUUCACUCUGGGUUUCAGAGGUUUCAGUCCACAGUUGGCUGAGUUCACUGAAUUUUAAACUGGUGUUGAGGUGAAGUGUCCAAGGUGGAAGGGCAUGGAAAAGCAAAUCUACCGAUCCCAGCCAGGAAGGAAAGAAGGGGACGGCGCAGAGAGGGAGGGUUUGGGGAGAAGUUAUGUCCUUUAAAGCCUCGACCCUGGUGACCUGCUCUCUAACUGCCUCACCUCUGAACAGUCUUCCACCUCCUAACAGCCCAUUAAACUAUGAGUCAAAGAAUGGAUCGCUCCAUCGAUGAGGUCAGAGCCAUCCCCACCUAUCACUGCCCGCCCACUCCACAUCCGAACACUGCUGCAUUCUGAUUCCAGCUUCCACACAGGAGCUGACAGUGGCCACCGAAGGUCCAAAUCGUGACAUGGAGCCUCUUUUAGGCAGCGUUAUUUGUGUCUUUCUUUUCCUACUUACUUGUUCGUCUUUUUGUUACCGGUGUUUAGAAGCUUCUUAUAUGGUUGAGGCAAGUUACCGUGCCUUAUAUUUCCUUAUAUGCAAAAUGGGAAAGAGAGUGAUGUCUGUGUCAUAGGAUAUGAUUGCAACAAUUAUGUGGGAUAAUGCAAGCGAAACCUGAGACCUGUGUGUGGCACAUGGUGUUUUUUAGUCACUGUUCCAUCACUGGGACGAAAUACUCAGCACCCACAACUUAAAGGAAGAGAGAUUUAUUUUGGCUCACGGAUUCUGGAGGAUUCAGUCCGUGGUCUGCUCCUCCAAGGCAGAGUGAGCACGGAGGAAGGGCAGUGUUGAGAAGAGCUGCUCCGCCCACGACAGCGCGGAAGAAGAGAGGGACGGGAAGAGCUGGGGGGUAAGAGUCACUCUUCCAGGUAAAAGCCCUGGUGGCCCAUCUGGCCUCACCCAGCUUGGCCUCUCCUCUGAACAGCAUUCAGUGACAAGUACAGGCUGAUCCUAACCUGCUACGCAAUCACCUUUCAAACACGUGAGACUCUGGGGGGACAUUUGAUAUCUAAACCAUAGUACAGUACGAUCAGCGCUCAAUAUUAUUGUCAUUAGCCAGGAUCACGCUGCCAGCAUCUGUGGGCACCGAACCCUAGCCAGGCCUCCCGACUUCCGUUCACCGCAUUGAACCCUGCACGGAAGGACCUUCUCUCACUCAGACUCAUCACCUCACCCCUGCUCAUGCCCCCCGCGGGCUCCCGCACCAGCAUCAGAGGCACAUGCUGUUGUGCUGCUAUCAGGACCCAACAUUACUUUAAAACACUGCGAUCAGGUUCUUCUGGAUAGGAAAAAAAGGUGGUUUUUAGACUGAAAAAUCCUGGAAAACAUUCAUUCUCACAGACUCUGCAUAGUGCAUGUGGCACUUGGCAUGUGCAUUCCAAAAUUUUAAAGACAGGUAUUGCACCAGAAGAGAAAAAGAAACAAAACAAAACUGAUCCCUAAACCCAAAAUGCAUUAAAUAUUAAAGGCUAUUCAACGUGAGCAAUGAAGUGUUUCAGGCUAAAUGCCCAUUCUUGCCUCACUCAUCCCACUUUUCCUGAUACACCGGCCACACACAAGAAAAAAAUGACCAAAUUUUCUCUUCUAUCCUACUGGGAGUCGCUUUGCUCCUGGUGGUCAGACAAUAACAUUUUCUUAUAAAUAAACAAAUUUUAAUCAGCCUUAUUUUUCCCCUUCCACCUGUGGAAUUUUCCUCAGUUUAUAAACGAAUUCUGUUUUGGGGAAGAAAAAUCGUGAGUGUCGUAAGUUUGCUUUUGUCGCCAAAUUCAACAACAACCAUUCACUUAGUCCUCAGCGAGGAAGCCACUAAUAACUUCCUUCCAAAUCCUUUAGUUAAAUUUAGUUCCUCUCCCCCCCUCAGGAUUAAUUCAUUCUUCCUCCCAGAUUAAUGCAGCUCUUCAUAGUUGUAAUUUCUCAACUGUUAAAUUUCAGAAGCUGCAUCUACUGAAAAUGCCUUUUUAGCCUAAGGAGAAAUCGGACCCUUCAGUAUUUCCACUACGGGCUUUAAUUCCAUCUUUUGGUUGCAUUCAAAGCCCUAUAAUUGCUUAUCCUUAGAACAGCCCCUAACCCCACCAAACAGGGACAACAAAAGCACGACUGUCCACUUUAGGAUUUUUUUUUCUCUUUUUUUUUUGCACAUUAAAUAGUCCUAUCUACUCUGCCAUCUCCUAUGGCUUCAACGCGUCAAGUUCUUGGACUUUAGCUUCGCAGUUGCCCUCACUGAGCCACGUUCCUCUGAGAAGGUGAGAGAGGCAAAGAGCACCACCUCCCGUGUGUCCUCAGAGUAGCAUUGAGGAAGGGUGGUGCCUUCCCUCCCGCUAGGUCUGACUUCUGAUGUCUUCUGAUGCAGGCCAAACUGCCUUCGCUAUUCUUGACAGCCACCUCGUGGUGAGGCUGCGUCAUCCAGCCUGCCACAUCCCUUGAGCCUUAUUCACAGCCUUUGACACCCAGUGCUGCUGCCUUCACUUGUACGGUUGGUUCACGGGACCCAAAUGUUGACCCUUAGACUCUUCCUUGCUAGGUUGCUCACACCGUUUCAUCUGCUUUUCAGGUCCCAGCUACUUGACGAAACAAAGGUUUUUACUUCUGGGAAAGAGAUUCAGUAGGGAGGAAACAGAAAGGAGAAACUGGUUGGGGAUUUAGCUCAGUGGUUCUGCCA